This 209-nucleotide long non-coding RNA is filed under the name Carica papaya (papaya). RNAcentral describes it as "long non-coding RNA (CPAP_LNC010508)". The record is from RNAcentral. Lineage: Eukaryota; Viridiplantae; Streptophyta; Magnoliopsida; Brassicales; Caricaceae.
GUUGCCAAACAAAGUAAAAUUUUUUCCUACCCACUCAAAAUUCGAUUUCGAGCACCCCUAUGGCAAAUUAAAGCAAGAGAGACAGUGGGUGAGCCAAAAAUCGCAUACAAAGUUCGGUGGAGCCGUCGUGGCCAAAAUCCCAAAAUACCUCUGAUGAGCUCCUUCCCGCUUCUCGUUUCACGCGAUUUUUCAGUCAUUAUGUUCACUGU